UGUUGCUCUUCUUUCCGGGUCUUCUCCUUUCCCUUUAAUUCUCAAACGAUAGGUUGCUCAAUUUCUCAUCUCUACGACUGCUUUUUCUCUGUCUUUUAUUUUUUGCUUCUCGAAUACCGGGCAUUUCUUCCUAUUUCCUCGCAUUUUAGCACCCACUAAUGAAUGAUUCUGUUGUAUUUGCCAUCUUGGAGGUUUGUUUCGGUGGAUCAACUCUUGCAAGUCUUUGUCAUCUAAAAUACCAUUUUUUGAGAAAUUGUGUUCUUAGAUCUUUACAAUGAUAUUCAUCUUGGCAAGGGUUACAAAAGAGAUUGUGGAUUUAAGAUGAAUUAGUUCAGGCAUUAUAUGGAGAAGACUGCACUGCUUGCUCUUUGAUGUCAACUACUUGACAUCUUUGACUAAGGUCUUAUAAUUCUACUCAUUCUGGGGGGAAAUUACUCAGUCAACCCAAGCAAGGUAGCAACAUUCUAAUUCUCCAAAAUUAUAUGGUAAUUCAUCAACUAUAUUAUUUAGUUGUUAUGAUAUUACUUAUGUUGAGUUUAUGGAUCUUUAUUUUGAUAAUAUUGGAUUCCAUUUGAUACCAACUGCUUAUAUGUAUGUAACAAAAGCUUUGAAUAUGGACAGUUUGAUAAGGCUAGCUUAUUCAUGGGAAUGUCCAGUAGAGCCCUGUACUGUUGUCUUGAACUAUGUACAAUAAUUAAUCUUUUUUUUUUCAUAUUCGACCAAAAUUUAUAACACAACUGAAUCAUGCGAAGAACAUUUCACAAAAUUUGAUUGAAGCAGGGUUUGGUUUAAGGUACAUAAGCACAUAGAAGAGAGAAUCUAUUUUGCCCUCAUUAGAAUGCACAUUGGUGCUGAAAGAAUAUGUAUGAUAUGACCUUACCUAGAUCUUGCAAUUAUUAUCUAAUAUUGUGUUCAUUCUUGGGGUUGAAUAUUUACAAAUUCAUCCUCCUGAAAAUUGUCCACUGUACGAAGGUAUUGGAGGCUCUAAGAUUUUAGACAUGAGGCAAGUAAGUGAUAUUUGUAUGUGAUGUAAACUAGAUAAAUGAGUUACCAACAGUUAAUUGACUUGAUUUAUAAAUGACUUGAAUGACAAAAUAUUGAACUAGAAUAGAAUGCAUGGCACUCUUUUCUUAAUCUUAUUUUUUAAGUCAUUUGAUGUCUCCAUGUGUUAUAUGUCUGAAACGACUAAAUAAUGUUUUACUGUGUUUUUCUUUUGACUGAUGUUCUAAAAUACACACUUAUUUAUCAGUCAUGAAUUUGAUACAUUAUGUACUUAUACUAGAUAGUAGCGAUUAACAAUAUUUAUGAGUUGGCUCAAGCAUACUUUCAUUGUUAUGUCUGUACUAUGUAAAAUUAUUUCAAGGCCAGUUCGCUUGUUGUUUUUCUUUGUUAUUUUGUUUAGUUUAGUGAAAUAUGGUCAUUGCCUAUAGUGGAUGUAACUUGGAAUCUAAAAGUACAAUUGGCUUAAUACUGAUUGUGAAGAAACAGA
Molecule: long non-coding RNA, 1489 nt
Organism: Nicotiana tabacum (common tobacco)
Lineage: Eukaryota; Viridiplantae; Streptophyta; Magnoliopsida; Solanales; Solanaceae
Source: RefSeq, a predicted model, not a curated record